AUCGUUUGUUCCAAAAUUAGGUAAAACUAGUAGGGGCAAUCUUAGCAAAAUAUGCCGGUCUCAGAUGUAUUAAGGAAUUAGAUGUAUUUUUUCAAGGUUUUGGAGUUACCUUUCAUGCAUCCUGGAAAACGUUCAAGAAUAGCUUUGUCCAUGUCAACCGGAGAAAUCCAGUUACCCAGUUCUCCGGUAACACCGUUACGUGGAGUAGGAAUAGUAUCGCGUUUGCAGUCGGUGCUGAUGGACGUGCAUUUCUCGACGCGUGCUACGUCCGCUGGAUUCGUUCUAGCAAGCCAACUAAAACUUCAACAGAUGAUCGUACUCUGCAUCGCUUCCAUCGCAAAUGUAAAUGUCCUUAGGACAGCAAAGGGAUGCACAUUCCUCGACGUAUGAACAGACUUUUGGAGCAAGGGGUUCUGUCAGUGUAUUCAGCAACGGUAUCUUCCCUAUACAAUCGUAACCGUUGCUGAUGGAUGGAUUUUUCGCCACAUUGGUGACCAACGUGGACACUCUGUAAAAUAAAAUGAACAUUUAAAUACUCUUAACGCUUAUUAACUGUUUCACAUUCAAAUGCUUAGAUUUUUAUAUCUUUCUUUUAAUCCUUUUAAUACAUUCUCUUCCGAGAUAUUAAUAUUUUUUAACGCAUUUCCUUUGCGAUAUUCGUGCAAUGAAUUCGAAGUACUCUACGUUACUCUACUUAACGCAUGAAAGCCUAAUCACUAGCUUUGGAUCAACGUAACAGAUCUUAUAUAGAGCGUCUCACAGAGUGUCUGUUAAUAACAUGUCGACUUUUACUUCAUCACUAUAGGAACAUUGAUUAAAGGAAAAAAUGAAUUUUUACAUUGCUAUUUUUCAUUGCGAUAUUUCGUGAAGUAACAACCUGUCUCGAUAGAUCAAAGUAUGAUCGAGAGUUACCCGUUUACUUUUCAUUGAUGAUGUUGAAAAAGAUCUCGCAACUUUCAUGCUGUUGCAUACCGUACAUGAAAAUGUACCCUUUCCUUUUACCGGCAAACCUGUUGCCUUUAUAAGUACAUGCUGCAACUGCAUUUAAAAAAUUUUCAUGCUUCGACGAACAUACAUAGUUUAGAGUAGACACUAUGGAGCACUUUUCUGUUAAAAGAAAAGUAAAAGCAUGACGAAUACUUUAGACGUUAUUAUUAUUUGUCCAC
This 1166-nucleotide unclassified non-coding RNA is filed under the name Bombus terrestris (buff-tailed bumblebee). RNAcentral describes it as "misc RNA ENSBTSG00005033637.1". Lineage: Eukaryota; Metazoa; Arthropoda; Insecta; Hymenoptera; Apidae. The record is from RNAcentral.